RNAcentral lists this ribosomal RNA (566 nucleotides) under uncultured bacterium. Its description in RNAcentral is "partial 16S ribosomal RNA". It matches the Rfam family "Bacterial small subunit ribosomal RNA", at positions 355 to 914 of the family's 1533-position model. The record is from RNAcentral.
UGGGGAAUUUUGGACAAUGGGCGAAAGCCUGAUCCAGCAAUGCCGCGUGUGUGAAGAAGGCCUUCGGGUUGUAAAGCACUUUUGUCCGGAAAGAAAUCCUUGGCCCUAAUACAGUCGGGGGAUGACGGUGCCGGAAGAAUAAGCACCGGCUAACUACGUGCCAGCAGCCGCGGUAAUACGUAGGGUGCAAGCGUUAAUCGGAAUUACUGGGCGUAAAGCGUGCGCAGGCGGUUUGCUAAGACCGAUGUGAAAUCCCCGGGCUCAACCUGGGAACUGCAUUGGUGACUGGCAGGCUAGAGUAUGGCAGAGGGGGGUAGAAUUCCACGUGUAGCAGUGAAAUGCGUAGAGAUGUGGAGGAAUACCGAUGGCGAAGGCAGCCCCCUGGGCCAAUACUGACGCUCAUGCACGAAAGCGUGGGGAGCAAACAGGAUUAGAUACCCUGGUAGUCCACGCCCUAAACGAUGUCAACUAGUUGUUGGGGAUUCAUUUCCUUAGUAACGUAGCUAACGCGUGAAGUUGACCGCCUGGGGAGUACGGUCGCAAGAUUAAAACUUAAAGGAAUUGAC